CAGAGUUGCAAAACUCCCAAACCAUUGUGAACUUACCUACCCCGUUGCUUCGGCGGGCGGCCCGGGCCCCGCGCCCGGCGCCCCCCGGCCCCCCGUGGGCGCCCGCCGGAGGUAAAACAAACCCUUGAAUUGCAUGGCCUCUCUGAGUCUUCUGUACUGAAUAAGUCA
RNAcentral lists this unclassified non-coding RNA (168 nucleotides) under uncultured Humicola. RNAcentral's name for it is "sequence contains ITS1". The record is from RNAcentral. Lineage: Eukaryota; Fungi; Ascomycota.